Molecule: ribosomal RNA, 541 nt
Filed under: uncultured Hypocreaceae
Lineage: Eukaryota; Fungi; Ascomycota; Sordariomycetes; Hypocreales
Description: eukaryotic LSU rRNA
Rfam family: 5.8S ribosomal RNA (bases 176-329)
Source: RNAcentral
AACGUUACNNNNNNNUUGUCUCGGCGGGAUCUUCUGCCCCGGGUGCGUCGCAGCCCCGGACCAAGGCGCCCGCCGGAGGAAUCAACCAAAACUCUUAUUGUAUACCCCCUCGCGGGUUUUUUUUAUAAUCUGAGCCUUCUCGGCGCCUCUCGUAGGCGUUUCGAAAAUGAGUCAAAACUUUCAACAACGGAUCUCUUGGUUCUGGCAUCGAUGAAGAACGCAGCGAAAUGCGAUAAGUAAUGUGAAUUGCAGAAUUCAGUGAAUCAUCGAAUCUUUGAACGCACAUUGCGCCCGCCAGUAUUCUGGCGGGCAUGCCUGUCCGAGCGUCAUUUCAACCCUCGAACCCCUCCGGGGGGUCGGCGUUGGGGAUCGGCCUUCCUUCACGGGGGCCGUCUCCGAAAUACAGUGGCGGUCUCGCCGCAGCCUCUCCUGCGCAGUAGUUUGCACACUCGCAUCGGGAGCGCGGCGCGUCCACAGCCGUUAAACACCCAACUUUCUGAAAUGUUGACCUCGGAUCAGGUAGGAAUACCCGCUGACCUUA